RNAcentral lists this ribosomal RNA (459 nucleotides) under uncultured Veillonellaceae bacterium. RNAcentral's name for it is "bacterial SSU rRNA". It matches the Rfam family "Bacterial small subunit ribosomal RNA", at positions 341 to 792 of the family's 1533-position model. Lineage: Bacteria; Bacillati; Bacillota; Negativicutes; Veillonellales; Veillonellaceae. The record is from RNAcentral.
ACGGGAGGCAGCAGUGGGGAAUCUUCCGCAAUGGGCGAAAGCCUGACGGAGCAACGCCGCGUGAGUGAUGACGGCCUUCGGGUUGUAAAACUCUGUGAUCCGGGACGAAAAGGCAGAGUGCGAAGAACAAACUGCAUUGACGGUACCGGAAAAGCAAGCCACGGCUAACUACGUGCCAGCAGCCGCGGUAAUACGUAGGUGGCAAGCGUUGUCCGGAAUUAUUGGGCGUAAAGCGCGCGCAGGCGGCUUCCCAAGUCCCUCUUAAAAGUGCGGGGCUUAACCCCGUGAUGGGAAGGAAACUGGGAAGCUGGAGUAUCGGAGAGGAAAGUGGAGUUCCUAGUGUAGCGGUGAAAUGCGUAGAGAUUAGGAAGAACACCGGUGGCGAAGGCGACUUUCUGGACGAAAACUGACGCUGAGGCGCGAAAGCGUGGGGAGCAAACAGGAUUAGAUACCCUGGUA